CGCGCCCCUCCCUGCCCCGCCGCCGCCGUCGCCGCUCCCCGCACUCGCUCCUCCUCCCCCCGCAUCUCCCUCCCUCCCACGCAACCGCCUCUCUCCCUCGCUCGCUCCUCAUCUGGCGACGGCGGCGGCGGCUCCGGCGCCCGCGUUCUUCCUCCCACCAACCACGGCGCUCCUCCCCAUCGCCAUGGACGAGCUUGAGCUCCAGGUGCUCCUUCCCUGCCCAGAAGCCCAAGGGCGUUGCGGGGCGGCAAGGGGCUCAGCCUCAACCCGCCAACCCUAGCUGCCCCCACGCCGCCGCCGGCUCCUUCUCCCGGCCUGCCGGAUCCCGUCAUCCGCAUCCCUGGCGUCGUCGUCGUCGCCGUCGUCCUCGCGUGCACUCGGCAGGAGAAGCGGAGCACGAGUCGAGGUGUGCCACCCCCGAUUCUGCAGUGCGCCCGACGGCUGCUUCUGCAGCAGCAGCGGUGGCAAGCCUUGGACUGGCUCGGGACACCAGAAGCGGGCAAUGAAGGCCAUUGCCAUGUUGGUAUUGUUCCAGACAUCGAAGAUUUUUGAUAUGUGAAGGCCGAGGCAAAAAUGUCAGUAACUACAAAGAGGGUACCAGCAUCAUCAAAUAAGAACAGUUCACCAGAAAAUUGGGAAGCAGUUCUUGGAGGUAUUAAAAACAUUAGGUUAUCUGGCCAGGCCCCCGUAGAUACCAAGGGCCGUGAAAAGGCUGGUUCUCUUCUUCCACCCAAGGAAAGAAGGUUUAUAGUUCUUAUAUCAACAAUGAUGUCAAGCCAGACAAUUAAGUUACACAUGGCACAAAGCUGAGCCUGCGCUGCGGCUACUGCCUGAUGACGAUGACAAUCUGAUCGAGUAGAUCAAUCAUGAGUUUUAUCAUACUUUGAGCCAAAUCUUCGCGCCUUUUUUCUUUUAUUUGGUUAUACUGUGUAAUUAGGAAUCAAUAAUAAAAGUAGAUGGUACAAAGUUGUGCUCCCUAGCUUUUUUUCCAUUGGUCUUGCUAAGCAAGUUAAUGUAUAUCUUCAUUUAUAUAGCAUCUCCAGUGUUCCAUUAUGUUCAGCUAUGUAUGUUCACUUGGUCCCUUAGUUACUUCCUGGGCCCUCUUUGCUUGCCUUACUCCCAUCUAAUUUUAGAAUUAACUUUAAUGAUAUUGAUAGGUUAAGGUCAUUCAUCAUGAGAGGUGUUGAUGUGGAGUCCCAUGUGUACCUACUGUUGCCCCAUCAAUUAUGUAGUGGCCUCUUUCUGAACAUUGUUUGGUUCCAACGAAGAUCUAUUAGUAGUGCUGAACCGAUUUUAAAAACAACAACAUUGGUCAGUUUCUUAAUUUCGUGUACUGUUUUCACUUUAGGACCAGAAAACUGAACCUCGACAUAAUGACAUACUCCACCGGCUUAAACUUUCCUCUACACACAGUACCUUCUCAUUCAUCAUGUGCACGUUAAUGCUCUCUUCUUAUAUUAUUCAUGAUUACUUUGCUUGCUACUAGCAUGGUACAUGACAUUACAAUCUUAGCAGAGGCUUGUGCAACAAACCUGGCCUGUGUGUAAUAGACUUUUUAUAUUAUUUUAUUCUCCAAUUUUGCCAGCUAAGGAUUUAAUUAUACUGCAUAUCAUGUUGCACAAGGUAUCUUUACAAAUGGGUUCAGUUCCAACUCGAUAGAUGUAUGAGUAUCAGAUCUUAAAUUGCUUGUCUUGGAAACUGUUUUCUCAUCUACUUUCAGAGAUCAAGCCUGACAAAAUCUACACUGGUUCACCUUAAUUACAUGCUGGGUUCAGCAUAACGGCUAAGGGGAGACGAGGUGGAAAUUUAGCUUUUUAGUAUAGGACUGAUUUCCUGCAAAAAAAUAGUAUAGGGUUGUGAAGAUAUUCACGAAAAGAAGUACUCCCUCUCAUCCGAAUUAAAUGAUGCAGCCUCUAUACAAUGUCUAUAUGUUCCUCGAUUUUAUUAGAUGCAUAUAUGUGGACAUCUCCUUUUUUGCCAGAUUGCUAUUUGAAGUUUACAACCUUAUAGAUUGCUCUAUAUAUGGCAGUAAAUAGUUUGUAUUUUAGCGCCUUAGUUGUGAAUUUGUUAUAGAAGUAUUCUAACUGAUAUUCUAACGUCAUCAUGUAGAAUGGACAUGAUCUCGCCCAUUGGGAAUUGCAUGCUGCAGUAAAGCAAUUUGGUCAACCAUAUUCAGCGUUCGGCGGAGUCCUUGGUCAUUUCUUUGAGGAGCAGCUCCUUCUCAGGUGUUCUCUUCAAGAGAUGCUUGCACACCUUGUUUGGGUGGCGAGGUUGGAGUCUCAUGGCGAGUCUGAGGAUUUUAUUCCUAUCCGAGUAGUCGUAGGUAUUUAUAGUUGUAUCAGAAAACACCUACCAAGUACUUCUAGGCGUUGCAAGUUUUUUGUAGCAAUGCGACAAUGAUCUUAUUCAUAAACAGUGGUGUUGAUGAUCAAGUCUUGGGUGACUUACAUUAACUAAUUUAUAGAACCAAGUACUUUAUUUUGCCCGGUACAUCAUAUAUGCGCUUUGUACUCUUUUUUCCCCAUUAUGCUAUGUAAGAUUAGCUUACAUCAGUCGGUGUUUGGAUGAAUGAGUUGUAUCAGUGAUGUAAAGUCGCUUAAUGUAUAAUUAACAUGACUUCUUGUGCACAUAUAAGCUUUGUUGUGGAUACCA
RNA transcript from Aegilops tauschii subsp. strangulata, 2652 nucleotides. RefSeq lists it as uncharacterized. Lineage: Eukaryota; Viridiplantae; Streptophyta; Magnoliopsida; Poales; Poaceae. The record is from RefSeq and is a predicted model, not a curated record.